This 301-nucleotide long non-coding RNA is filed under the name Elaeis guineensis (African oil palm). Its description in RNAcentral is "long non-coding RNA (EGUI_LNC006833)". Lineage: Eukaryota; Viridiplantae; Streptophyta; Magnoliopsida; Arecales; Arecaceae. The record is from RNAcentral.
GCCAUGCAUGGUGAUAUCCUUUCAAGCUUUGCCCAGGUAAUUUGGGGCUUGUCUCUUCCAACAAGAGCUAAAGUAUUCAAUUGGUUGGUCUUCAAUAAUAAGGUCCUUAUAGCAGUCAAUCUCAAGAAAUGAAACUUUUCAGCUCCACCUCAAUGUGUGCUAUGUUAUAUGGAAGAAGAAUCUACAGAUUAUCUUUUUCUCACUUGCAAAUACUCCAUGCAAAUUUUGAAACACCUUCUAAAGCUGCACUUAACAACAUUGUCCCUCUUUCCACCCACCAUUCGUAAAUUCUAGGGAGAAU